This 1008-nucleotide ribosomal RNA is filed under the name uncultured bacterium. RNAcentral's name for it is "bacterial SSU rRNA". It matches the Rfam family "Bacterial small subunit ribosomal RNA", at positions 355 to 1375 of the family's 1533-position model. The record is from RNAcentral.
UGGGGAAUAUUGCACAAUGGGCGCAAGCCUGAUGCAGCGACGCCGCGUGAGGGAUGGAGGCCUUCGGGUUGUAAACCUCUUUUAUCGGGGAGCAAGCGAGAGUGAGUUUACCCGUUGAAUAAGCUCCGGCUAAAUACGUGCCAGCAGCCGCGGUAAUACGUAUGGAGCAAGCGUUAUCCGGAUUUACUGGGUGUAAAGGGAGUGUAGGUGGCCAGGCAAGUCAGAAGUGAAAGCCCGGGGCUCAACCCCGGGACUGCUUUUGAAACUGCAGGGCUAGAGUGCAGGAGGGGCAAGUGGAAUUCCUAGUGUAGCGGUGAAAUGCGUAGAUAUUAGGAGGAACACCAGUGGCGAAGGCGGCCUACUGGGCACCAACUGACGCUGAGGCUCGAAAGUGUGGGUAGCAAACAGGAUUAGAUACCCUGGUAGUCCACACCGUAAACGAUGAUUACUAGGUGUUGGGAGAUUGACCCUCUCAGUGCCGCAGUUAACACAAUAAGUAAUCCACCUGGGGAGUACGACCGCAAGGUUGAAACUCAAAGGAAUUGACGGGGGCCCGCACAAGCGGUGGAGUAUGUGGUUUAAUUCGACGCAACGCGAAGAGCCUUACCAGGGCUUGACAUUGAGUGAAAGGACUAGAGAUAGUCCCCUCUCUUCGGAGACACGAAAACAGGUGGUGCAUGGCUGUCGUCAGCUCGUGUCGUGAGAUGUUGGGUUAAGUCCCGCAACGAGCGCAACCCCUAUCCUUUGUUGCCAGCACGCAAUGGUGGGAACUCAAAGGAGACUGCCGCGGACAACGCGGAGGAAGGCGGGGAUGACGUCAAGUCAUCAUGCCCCUUAUGUCCUGGGCUACACACGUACUACAAUGGGAUGGACAGAGAGCAGCGAAGCCGCGAGGCCAAGCGAACCCCAUAAACCAUCUCCCAGUUCGGAUUGCAGGCUGCAACCCGCCUGCAUGAAGUUGGAAUCGCUAGUAAUCGCAGGUCAGCAUACUGCGGUGAAUACGUUCCC